AUUGAACGCUGGCGGCGUGCUUAACACAUGCAAGUCGAUCGGUAACAGGUGUAGCAAUACAUGCUGACGAGAGGCGGACGGGUGAGUAAUGCUUGGGAAUCUGCCUAUUAGUGGGGGACAACCCGGGGAAACUCGGGCUAAUACCGCAUACGCUCUACGGAGGAAAGCCGGGGACCGCAAGGCCUGGCGCUAAUAGAUGAGCCCAAGUCGGAUUAGCUAGUUGGUAGGGUAACGGCCUACCAAGGCGACAAUCCGUAGCUGGUCUGAGAGGACGACCAGCCACACCGGAACUGAGACACGGUCCGGACUCCUACGGGAGGCAGCAGUGGGGAAUAUUGGACAAUGGGGGCAACCCUGAUCCAGCGACGCCGCGUGGGUGAAGAAGGCCUGCGGGUUGUAAAGCCCUUUCGGUGGGGAAGAAAGUCUCGACCUAAUACGUCGGGACCUUGACGUAACCCACUAAAGAAGCACCGGCUAACUCUGUGCCAGC
This 490-nucleotide ribosomal RNA is filed under the name uncultured bacterium. Its description in RNAcentral is "bacterial SSU rRNA". It matches the Rfam family "Bacterial small subunit ribosomal RNA", at positions 29 to 512 of the family's 1533-position model. The record is from RNAcentral.